Molecule: long non-coding RNA, 603 nt
Filed under: Dasypus novemcinctus (nine-banded armadillo)
Lineage: Eukaryota; Metazoa; Chordata; Mammalia; Cingulata; Dasypodidae
Description: lncRNA (ENSDNOG00000052821.1)
Source: RNAcentral
GCUGGCGGGUGCGGGGAAAGCGGAGGAAAGGGGCCGAGGGCGGGCCGCGGCGGGCGCCGAGCCUCCGCUGGAGGGCGGAGGAAACCGCAACGUCACCGGGGCCCCGGGGGCGAGAAGGGGGAGGGGGAGUCUGGACCCCCUCCCCUCGCCGAACCCUGACCUCGGGCCCGCCCCGCUUUCUCGCGGCGCCUCUCCCCGGGCUCCCCGCUGCGCUGGGCCUUCCCCGCUGCUCGGGCCCGGCCCCACGCACCCCGCCCCUGCCGGGCCUCUUCUGCUCCGACCAGCUCGAGUUUCGAAUGACCCAUAGGCUUCGGGUUAAACUCUGGAAUCGCCCCCAAUCGAAGGAUACUUUAGGAGGCCCAGUGGGAGGAGCUGCUGUCUCCUUACCGCCCCGGGAGAGGAGAGCGAGGAGAACUUGCAGAAUCUUACUGCGGGGCAGGACGUGGUGUGUUGUGGUACCCACUCGCCUCCCCCUGCUCCAAAAUAGAAAUUGCACUUAACACAUUUGCCAAAAGGUGGAAGAAAUGCGAGGUCAUCAAUAGGUGAAUGGAUAAACAAAAUGUGGUGUAUACAUACAAGGGAAUAUUAUUCCGUCAUAAAAAG